RNAcentral lists this long non-coding RNA (1478 nucleotides) under Nicotiana benthamiana. RNAcentral describes it as "long non-coding RNA (NBEN_LNC002729)". The record is from RNAcentral. Lineage: Eukaryota; Viridiplantae; Streptophyta; Magnoliopsida; Solanales; Solanaceae.
AUAGGGCUCAUUGUAUCAUGUUUACAUAUCAAGUUAUAUUCUUCUCCCGUGCUUUCUCACAAAAAUGUUAGGCAAUAGAACCCCUGUCAAUCACUCCUGCACAAAGCCACUCAUGCGCAACCAGAAUUAGGAUUCCGGCGAGCUACAGUAACUUUUCCGGCACAUGUGAGCCAUUUCGACCACUUUGUGACAACUUUUUCAGGACAACUUACUCGUCCGCUGAUUCUGAACCUACUCAUAUAAAUUUAAAUCAAAUACUGACAACUUUUAUUUUUUCCGGCAUGAACAGUGCACUUUUUUCAACGUGAACAGUGAUUUCCAGAAAAGUUUAUGUUUUCUAAUCGUGUUUUAGAACCUAUUUUGUAGUGUGAAAUUCGUCUUAGUCUCACUAUUUUCAAAUUUCUCCGGCGACUUUUCGACCGACUUCUCUUUAUCAGCAACCACCUGGUGUUGUGGCUCAGGGAGUCUAGUGGACUAGUAUGUCGCUUGCGCCAGUCGCUUUAUGGUCUAGAGCAGUCUCCUCGUGUCUGAUUUGGUAAGUUCAGCAUAGUUAUCCAAGAGUUUAGCAUGACUCGUAGUGAAGUCGAAUGAUCAGCUUGUAGAUAUUUUCACCCAAGUCCCUCGCUGGUCCUCGUAUUAGUUACAUAUGUAACAUAUGAUUUGUAUGCACUGGCUUGAGGGGGAGCGUUAGAUAAUUACGUAUAAAUAAUCCCAGUCCCAUAUAUAGUAGGGGUAAAAUAUGUCUCAGUCUCAUAUGUAGUAAGAGUAGAAUAUGUCCUAGUCCCAUAUAUAGUAGGAAUAGAAUAUGUAUUGCUAGGCUAAUUGUAUCAUUGUUAAUAAGAUAGAUUUUUCUCUCGUACAUUCUCACACACAUUAUACAACUACACAAUUAAAGAAACAUAACACGAAAGAUCCUGCCAUCAGCUUAUAUAUUGAGUGCUACAUCUCAAAAUUUUACUCCCUCAAUCCUGGUUUUACAUUAGACUCUUUUUCAUAAUACACAAUGUUUGACACACUUAACAUAUUAUCACACUUUAAAUUACCUUGAGAAAUUUAAUUAAUUACACAAAUUGGUUUUCAACCAUGAAGUGAUAUCCUCUUUAUCAAAUACUCCAGAUAUCCUUUUUGGCGAAAUACACAGGUAGCCCCUCAGAAUUGAGACGAAACAGCAGUUAGAUACUCUUUUUAUUCGGUAAAGGUACAUGCCAAUUAGAUACUUUUACUUUACACACCUCAACUAGGCAGGGAUGUGUCUCUUAGACAUCCGAAUCUGACAAAAUAAUAUGCAUGCCUCCAACUCAUUUUUGAGCGCGAGAAUUGACCAAGUUACUUUUGUUUUCUUUUUAACUUGAAUGCUAACACAAUUCAAGUUAAAAAGAAAACAAAAGUCUGCAAGACAUCGGUCAGCUUUUGAGUUACAGUUUACCUGGAUAAGAAUGUAAUAGACACAAUAACCUUCAGAAUUAUCUUUCACUAGC